AUAAAUUUUCAAAGUGAUCAAUAAAUCGCAAGAAUGUCGAAAAUAAUUUUGGCUAUUUUCUUAAUUGUCCUGUGUGGGCUCAUUUUUGUUACUGUGGACGCGACUCUUGAUGCACCAUGCAAGGAAAAUAAGGAUUGUAAUCCACUUGACGAAUUCUGCUCAAUUUAUGCUGAUGAUGAUGGGAAUAUUGCAGGAAUGAGAUGUGAAGCUGCAGAAUUGUGAACAUGUGAAUGCAAAAAUAUAUUUUUUUAAUUUUUAAGCUAAUUUUUUACCUAAUAAGAAAAUAUAAGUACGCUGAAAUUAAAAAAAAUCAUCAGAAUAAAAAUAUUUUUUUACCUUG
This is a long non-coding RNA of Pieris rapae (cabbage white), 340 nucleotides long. RefSeq lists it as uncharacterized. The transcript has 2 exons. The record is from RefSeq and is a predicted model, not a curated record. Lineage: Eukaryota; Metazoa; Arthropoda; Insecta; Lepidoptera; Pieridae.